CCCUUAGACGUUCUGGGCCGCACGCGCGCUACACUGACCAGUGCAACAAGCAUCCGUCCUUGGCCGACAGGCCCAGGCAAUCUUUGAACGCUGUUCGUGAUUGGGAUAGACCUUUGCAAUUAUGGGUCUUCAACGAGGAAUUCCUAGUAAACGCAAGUCAUCAGCUUGCAUUGAUUACGUCCCUGCCCUUUGUACACACCGCCCGUCGCACCUACCGAUUGAAUGGUCCGGUGAAAUCUCGGGACGGCGGCUUGGUCGCUUGCGUCCGACUGCUGAAACUUGAUUAAACCAUAUCAUUUAGAGGAAGGUGAANUCGUANCA
RNAcentral lists this ribosomal RNA (321 nucleotides) under uncultured eukaryote. RNAcentral describes it as "partial 18S ribosomal RNA". It matches the Rfam family "Eukaryotic small subunit ribosomal RNA", at positions 1470 to 1796 of the family's 1831-position model. The record is from RNAcentral.